RNAcentral lists this ribosomal RNA (860 nucleotides) under uncultured Sphingobacterium sp. Its description in RNAcentral is "bacterial SSU rRNA". It matches the Rfam family "Bacterial small subunit ribosomal RNA", at positions 30 to 885 of the family's 1533-position model. The record is from RNAcentral. Lineage: Bacteria; Pseudomonadati; Bacteroidota; Sphingobacteriia; Sphingobacteriales; Sphingobacteriaceae.
UAAAAGUUUGCGCAGCUAAUACAUGCAAGUCGGACGGGAUCCAGCUGGUAGCUUGCUACCGGUUGGUGAGAGUGGCGCACGGGUGCGUAACGCGUGAGCAACCUACCCAUAUCAGGGGGAUAGCCCGAAGAAAUUCGGAUUAACACCGCAUGACACAAAUUGACCGCAUGGUUUAUUUGUCAAAUAUUCAUAGGAUAUGGAUGGGCUCGCGUGACAUUAGCUAGUUGGUGGGGUAACGGCCCACCAAGGCGACGAUGUCUAGGGGCUCUGAGAGGAGAAUCCCCCACACUGGUACUGAGACACGGACCAGACUCCUACGGGAGGCAGCAGUAAGGAAUAUUGGUCAAUGGGGGCAACCCUGAACCAGCCAUGCCGCGUGCAGGAUGACUGCCCUAUGGGUUGUAAACUGCUUUUGUUAGGGAAUAAACCCCACUACGUGUAGUGGGCUGAAUGUACCUAAAGAAUAAGGAUCGGCUAACUCCGUGCCAGCAGCCGCGGUAAUACGGAGGAUCCGAGCGUUAUCCGGAUUUAUUGGGUUUAAAGGGUGCGUAGGCGGCACUUUAAGUCAGGGGUGAAAGACGGCAGCUCAACUGUCGCAGUGCCCUUGAUACUGAAGUGCUUGAAUGCGGUUGAAGACGGCGGAAUGAGACAAGUAGCGGUGAAAUGCAUAGAUAUGUCUCAGAACACCGAUUGCGAAGGCAGCUGUCUAAGCCGUUAUUGACGCUGAUGCACGAAAGCGUGGGGAUCGAACAGGAUUAGAUACCCUGGUAGUCCACGCCCUAAACGAUGAUGACUCGAUGUUUGCGAUAUACCGUAAGCGUCCAAGCGAAAGCGUUAAGUCAUCCACCUGGGGAGUACGC